GAUGAACGCUAGCGGGAGGCUUAACACAUGCAAGGUCGAGGGGUAAAUGGUAGCAAUACUAUGAGACCGGCGGACGGGUGCGUAACGCGAUGCAACAUACCUUGUGCAGGGGGAUAGCCCGUGGAAACGCGGAUUAAUAUUCCAUAGUCCAGCUAUAUCGCAUGGUAUAGUUGGUAAAGAUUUAUCGGCACAAGUUUGGCAUGCGUCUGAUUAGCUUGUUGGUAGGGUAACGGCCUACCAAGGCUACGAUCAGUAGGGGUUCUGAGAGGAUUAACCCCCACACUGGUACUGAGACACGGACCAGACUCCUACGGGAGGCAGCAGUGAGGAAUAUUGGUCAAUGGGCGGAAGCCUGAACCAGCCAUCCCGCGUGAAGGAAGACAGCCUUACGGGUUGUAAACUUCUUUUCUGUCAGAAGAAUAAGCUUGUCGAGACGAGUGAUGCCGGUAUGACAGGAAUAAGCAUCAGCUAACUCCGUG
This 479-nucleotide ribosomal RNA is filed under the name uncultured bacterium. RNAcentral describes it as "bacterial SSU rRNA". It matches the Rfam family "Bacterial small subunit ribosomal RNA", at positions 28 to 507 of the family's 1533-position model. The record is from RNAcentral.